GCUUCUCCUUUCGCAGGGGCUGCGCUGAGGGCAUGGCUGUCUGUUCCUCCCCGGGGAUGUCAUUGACUGCACCUGCCUCAGGCUCGUGUGGGCGGUCUCUGCCUGGUCUGCCUCUCCUCACGGCGUGGGGGCGAAAAGGGACAGGCAGAGCACUUGCCGGCCACGGACAGGAGCUGCUGCAGCUGAAGCUGGAGAGGCCAGAGAAAGUUAAAGACGACGAAAUGGAAGGCCCUCCGGCCAGCAGCUGCCUCCCGCCGCGGGCAGGAGAGAGCCAGCCUCUCUGGGUGAGGAAGGAUCCCUCUUCGUAGUCCACAGGAGGUCAGACCGCCAACGUGCACCGCAGGGUCUGUGUGCUUCACCAACAGUGUGGUGGAGGACAGCCAAGCAGCCAGAGUUACAGAAAAGGAAGGGAGAAGAGGAGCAGAAAGAAGUGUCUGAACUGGCAAAUCCUCCUGGUACCACAGCGAGAGCUGUGCGCACAAGCGAGCGAGGCUACAUGUCUAGGAAGCUUCAUCUCGUUAGAGCUGUGGGACACCCACAUAUUCUUAGGUGGAGGACAGCCAAGCAGCCAGAGUUACAACAGAAGGAAGUGUCUGAACUGGCAAAGUCUCCUGGCAGUGCUGAGACCAAGAGCUGCAUGUCCUGCUCCUCAUUUUUGGCAGCCCUCACCUCUGCCCAGCAGCCCAUCGCUCCAGGAGCCGACAGACCGACUCUCUGUUCCCCGAUGGACCGACGAGCGUGGCUCAGGGACCGACUGCCGAGGUGGCCCAGGGGCAGGGGCAGCAUCGGGGUCCCCGAGCCCCAGAGCAGACUCGGUCCCAGGACUUGUUAGGAGUGUGACCGAAUAAACCCUCGCCGUCCCCUCUGCCCUCCCGGCUGCGUUUGCGCUCCCUUUGCACCGUGCGAGGGGCCGUGAGGGAGCCCGGGGGAGGAGGUGUGACGCGCCGGGGGGGUCGGGCGAUGCCCCCCCGGCCCCCCGUUCCUGCUGGGCUCCAGCUGCGGCCCGGGGCCGGGGGAGCCCCGGGUGCGGGCGGUGAGGCUGAUGGCGACGGGGCCGCGCCGUGUCGGAGCCGGGCGGAGGGGCCAGCCCGGAGACAGAGCCGGGGGCUCGGCGGGGAU
Molecule: long non-coding RNA, 1119 nt
Organism: Haliaeetus leucocephalus (bald eagle)
Lineage: Eukaryota; Metazoa; Chordata; Aves; Accipitriformes; Accipitridae
Exons: 4
Source: RefSeq, a predicted model, not a curated record